AAGUCAUAACAAGGUUUCCGUAGGUGAACCUGCGGAAGGAUCAUUAAUGAUGCCCUCGAAGUCUUUGGACUGGUAGGGUUUGUGUCGGUCUCUUCGGAGUCGACCUUAUCUCACACACCGUGAACUGUGGCUUCGGCCAUUUACACAAACUGUUAGUAAUGAAUGUAACAUCAUAACAAACAUAAAACUUUUAACAACGGAUCUCUUGGCUCUC
This 214-nucleotide unclassified non-coding RNA is filed under the name Vishniacozyma heimaeyensis. RNAcentral's name for it is "partial internal transcribed spacer region". The stretch from base 1 to 46 matches the Rfam family "Eukaryotic small subunit ribosomal RNA", at positions 1786 to 1831 of the family's 1831-position model. RNAcentral also lists the same sequence under 1 other name. The record is from RNAcentral. Lineage: Eukaryota; Fungi; Basidiomycota; Tremellomycetes; Tremellales; Bulleribasidiaceae.